This 468-nucleotide ribosomal RNA is filed under the name uncultured bacterium. RNAcentral's name for it is "partial 16S ribosomal RNA". It matches the Rfam family "Bacterial small subunit ribosomal RNA", at positions 28 to 507 of the family's 1533-position model. The record is from RNAcentral.
GACGAACGCUGGCGGCGUGCUUAACACAUGCCAGUCGAACGGAAAGGCCCUGCUUUUGUGGGGUGCUCGAGUGGCGAACGGGUGAGUAACACGUGAGUAACCUGCCCUUGACUUUGGGAUAACUUCAGGAAACUGGGGCUAAUACCGGAUAGGAGCUCCUGCUGCAUGGUGGGGGUUGGAAAGUUUCGGCGGUUGGGGAUGGACUCGCGGCUUAUCAGCUUGUUGGUGGGGUAGUGGCUUACCAAGGCUUUGACGGGUAGCCGGCCUGAGAGGGUGACCGGCCACAUUGGGACUGAGAUACGGCCCAGACGCCUACGGGAGGCAGCAGUGGGGAAUAUUGCACAAUGGGCGGAAGCCUGAUGCAGCAACGCCGCGUGCGGGAUGACGGCCUUCGGGUUGUAAACCGCUUUCGCCUGUGACGAAACGUGAGUGACGGUAAUGGGUAAAGAAGCACCGGCUAACUACGUG